GAUGAAGAACGCAGCGAAAUGCGAUAAGUAAUGUGAAUUGCAGAAUUCAGUGAAUCAUCGAAUCUUUGAACGCACAUUGCGCCCGCCAGUAUUCUGGCGGGCAUGCCUGUUCGAGCGUCAUUUCAACCAUCAAGCCCCAGGCUUGUGUUGGGGACCUGCGGCUGCCGCAGGCCCUGAAAACCAGUGGCGGGCUCGCUGUCACACCGGGCGUAGUAGAUUUUAUCUCGCUCAGGGCGUGCUGCGGGUUCCGGCCGUUAAAAAGCCUUUUUUACCCAAGGUUGACCUCGGAUCAGGUAGGAAUACCCGCUGAACUUAAGCAUAUCAAUGAGCGGAGGA
RNAcentral lists this unclassified non-coding RNA (336 nucleotides) under soil metagenome. Its description in RNAcentral is "partial contains 5.8S ribosomal RNA, internal transcribed spacer 2, and large subunit ribosomal RNA". The stretch from base 1 to 120 matches the Rfam family "5.8S ribosomal RNA", at positions 35 to 154 of the family's 154-position model. The record is from RNAcentral.